AACAAAAACAUGUCUUUUUGAAAUAAAUUUAAAGUCUAACCUGCCCACUGAAAUUUUUAAAUGGCCGCAGUAUUCUAACUGUGCAAAGGUAGCAUAAUCAUUAGUCUUUUAAUUGAAGGCUGGAAUGAAUGGUUGGACGAAAUAUUAACUGUUUCAUUUGAAUUUUUUAUAGAAUUUUAUUUUUUAGUCAAAAAGCUAAAAUUUAUUUAAAAGACGAGAAGACCCUAUAAAUCUUUAUAUUUUGUUUAUUUUAAUUAUAAAGAUUAUUUUUAUUAUAAUAAAUUAAAAUAUUUUAUUGGGGUGAUAUUAAAAUUUAAAAAACUUUUAAUUUUUUAAACCAUUAAUAUAUGAAUAAUUGAUCCAUUAAUAAUGAUUAAAAAUUUAAGUUACUUUAGGGAUAACAGCGUAAUUUUUUUGGAGAGUUCAUAUCGAUAAAAAAGAUUGCGACCUCGAUGUUGGAUUAAGAUAUAAUUUUGGGUGNAGCCGUNCAAAUUUUAAGUCUGUUCGACUUUUAAAUUCUUACGUGAUCUGAGUUCAAACCGGA
RNAcentral lists this ribosomal RNA (544 nucleotides) under Scaptomyza lobifera. RNAcentral describes it as "partial 16S ribosomal RNA". It matches the Rfam family "Bacterial large subunit ribosomal RNA", at positions 1806 to 2620 of the family's 2925-position model. The record is from RNAcentral. Lineage: Eukaryota; Metazoa; Arthropoda; Insecta; Diptera; Drosophilidae.